AUUGAGCGCUGGCGGCAGGCUUAACACAUGCAAGUCGAGCGGGGUGAUGGUGCUUGCACUAUCACUUAGCGGCGGACGGGUGAGUAAUGCUUAGGAAUCUGCCUAUUAGUGGGGGACAACAUCUCGAAAGGGAUGCUAAUACCGCAUACGUCCUACGGGAGAAAGCAGGGGAUCACUUGUGACCUUGCGCUAAUAGAUGAGCCUAAGUCGGAUUAGCUAGUUGGUGGGGUAAAGGCCUACCAAGGCGACGAUCUGUAGCGGGGCUGGGAGGAUGAUCCGCCACGCUGGGACUGAGACACGGCCCAGACUCCUACGGGAGGCAGCAGUGGGGAAUAUUGGACAAUGGGGGGAACCCUGAUCCAGCCAUGCCGCGUGUGUGAAGAAGGCCUUAUGGUUGUAAAGCAUUUUAAGCGAGGAGGAGGCUACUUUAGUUAAUACCUAGAGAUAGUGGACGUUACUCGCAGAAUAAGCACCGGCUAACUCUGUGCCAGCCGCCGCAGUAA
RNAcentral lists this ribosomal RNA (503 nucleotides) under uncultured bacterium. Its description in RNAcentral is "partial 16S ribosomal RNA". It matches the Rfam family "Bacterial small subunit ribosomal RNA", at positions 30 to 523 of the family's 1533-position model. The record is from RNAcentral.